RNAcentral lists this unclassified non-coding RNA (356 nucleotides) under fungal sp. RNAcentral's name for it is "partial internal transcribed spacer region". The stretch from base 1 to 46 matches the Rfam family "Eukaryotic small subunit ribosomal RNA", at positions 1786 to 1831 of the family's 1831-position model. Lineage: Eukaryota; Fungi. The record is from RNAcentral.
AAGUCGUAACAAGGUUUCCGUAGGUGAACCUGCGGAAGGAUCAUUAACACGUAUCCGUAUCAACCCCUCUGUGCAACGCAACAACGUAAAGGUCAGCCUAGUCCGCUGCUGCUUGGUCUCAACGAUGGCGGGCUCGUUCUGUCCCUUCCCACUCUUCCGCUUGCGGAGGGGCAGGAGUGGUGCGGAUACGCCCGAAGAUCCUGAGCAGGCGGGCGUUUUAGCCCUGUUUACCACUUUUUAACCCCUUUGUACUCUCUUUGUACUGAACCAAAACAUUUCUUUCGGAGCUCGCAAGAGCGACGGAGAGAUAUUACGAAACUAAACAACAACUCUUAGCAACGGAUAUCUUGGUUCCC